RNAcentral lists this ribosomal RNA (465 nucleotides) under uncultured bacterium. RNAcentral's name for it is "partial 16S ribosomal RNA". It matches the Rfam family "Bacterial small subunit ribosomal RNA", at positions 28 to 506 of the family's 1533-position model. The record is from RNAcentral.
GACGAACGCUGGCGGCGCGCCUAACACAUGCAAGUCGAACGAGCGAGAGAGAGCUUGCUUUCUCGAGCGAGUGGCGAACGGGUGAGUAACGCGUGAGGAACCUGCCUCAAAGAGGGGGACAACAGUUGGAAACGACUGCUAAUACCGCAUAAGCCCACGGCUCGGCAUCGAGCAGGGGGAAAAGGAGCAAUCCGCUUUGAGAUGGCCUCGCGUCCGAUUAGCUAGUUGGUGGGGUAACGGCCCACCAAGGCGACGAUCGGUAGCCGGACUGAGAGGUUGAACGGCCACAUUGGAACUGAGACACGGCCCAGACUCCUACGGGAGGCAGCAGUGGGGAAUAUUGCACAAUGGGGGAAACCCUGAUGCAGCGACGCCGCGUGGAGGAAGAAGGUCUUCGGAUUGUAAACUCCUGUUGUUGGGGAAGAUAAUGACGGUACCCAACAAGGAAGUGACGGCUAACUACGU